This 121-nucleotide non-coding RNA is filed under the name uncultured Coprococcus sp. Its description in RNAcentral is "yjdF RNA". It matches the Rfam family "azaaromatic riboswitch aptamer (yjdF RNA)". Lineage: Bacteria; Bacillati; Bacillota; Clostridia; Lachnospirales; Lachnospiraceae. The record is from RNAcentral.
GGCAAAGAUAAAAACGCAACGCAUGUCAUUAACCAUGUCAGAGCCGGUUGGUAGCCCGGCCGUCUUAUAUUUUUAUAAGGUAAGUAACCUGCCCCUCCGGGUUGUCCAUUCUUUUGCCAUU